AGAGUUUGACCGUGGCUCAGGAUGAACGCUAGCGGCGCGCUUAAUGCAUGCAAGUCGAGCGAUGAGGCCCUUUCGAGGGCACAUCAGCGGCAGACGGGUGAGUAACACGUAGGUGACCUCCCCUUCAGUUGGGGAUAACGGGUGGAAACACUCGCUAAUACCCGAUGGACUCUUGGGGUCGCAGCCAAGAGGAAAGCAGUGAUGCGCUGAGGGAGGGGCCUGCGGCCCAUCAGCUAGUUGGUGCGGUAACAGCGCACCAAGGCAAAGACGGGUAGGGGGUGUGAGAGCAUGGCCCCCCACAAUGGGACUGAGACACGGCCCAUACUCCUACGGGAGGCAGCAGCAGGGAAUAUUGCGCAAUGGGCGAAAGCCUGACGCAGCGACGCCGCGUGGAUGAGGAAGGCCUUCGGGUUGUAAAAUCCUUUUCGGGGGGAAGAGAAUGGACGGUACCCUCGGAAAAAGCGUCGGCUAACUACGUGCCAGCAGCCGCGGUAAUACGUAGGACGCGAGCGUUAUCCGGAUUUACUGGGCGUAAAGCGUCUGUAGGCGGCUUUGUAAGUUGGGCGUGAAAGCUCCGGGCUUAACCCGGAGAGGCCGUUCAGUACUGCAGAGCUAGAGGGUGACAGAGGAGCGUGGAAUUUCCGGUGUAGCGGUAAAAUGCGCAGAUAUCGGGAGGAACACCAGUGGCGAAGGCGGCGCUCUGGGUCAUACCUGACGCUGAGAGACGAAAGCUAGGGGAGCAAACAGGAUUAGAGACCCUGGUAGUCCUAGCCUUAAACGAUGGAUGCUAGGUGUGGGGCUGAACAGGCUCUGUGCCGUAGCCAACGCGAUAAGCAUCCCGCCUGGGGAGUACGGCCGCAAGGUUAAAACUCAAACGAAUUGACGGGGACCCGCACAAGCAGCGGAGCGUGUGGUUUAAUUCGAUCUACACGAAGAACCUUACCUGGGUUUGACAUGCGCGUGGUAGUGAGCCGAAAGGUGAGCGACCCUUCGGGGAGCGUGCACAGGUGCUGCAUGGCUGUCGUUAGCUCGUGCCGUGAGGUGUCGGGUUAAGUCCCGUAACGAGCGCAACCCUUGCCCUUAGUUAUACGUAUCUAGGGGGACUGCCGGCGGGAAGCCGGAGGAAGGUGGGGAUGACGUCAAGUCAGCAUGGCCCUUAUGUCCAGGGCUACACACACGCUACAAUGGGCGGUACAACGGGCAGCUAAGCCGUGAGGCGGAGCGAAUCCCAUCAAGGCCGUUCGUAGUUCGGAUAGCAGGCUGCAACUCGCCUGCUUGAAGCUGGAGUUGCUAGUAACCGCGCAUCAGCCAUAGUGCGGUGAAUACGUUCCCGGGUCUUGUACACACCGCCCGUCACGUCAUGGGAGUUGGUAACGCCUGAAGCCGGUAGCCUGACCGCAAGGGGGGCGCUGUCGAAGGUGGGACUAGCGACUGGGACGAAGUCGUAACAAGGUA
This 1455-nucleotide ribosomal RNA is filed under the name metagenome. RNAcentral describes it as "bacterial SSU rRNA". It matches the Rfam family "Bacterial small subunit ribosomal RNA". The record is from RNAcentral.